Long non-coding RNA from Passer domesticus (house sparrow), 393 nucleotides. RefSeq lists it as uncharacterized. The transcript has 3 exons. The record is from RefSeq and is a predicted model, not a curated record. Lineage: Eukaryota; Metazoa; Chordata; Aves; Passeriformes; Passeridae.
CACAGCCGGCAGGGGCGGUGGUGGCUCCCGGCGGGCCGGCGAUCCCGGUGCCGCCGCAGGACUCCGAGGGGCACCAAGGUGGAAUGGCAGGAAUGAGCAAAAAUCCCGGGCUGGUGGACGAGACGUAUCUGCAGAGGUCAACUGUAGAAACCAGGAACUGAAUCAUUACACUGGGAGAGACAAAUGCCUUGAAUUUGUUCCUUUUUCCAGUCCAUAAAUAUUCAUUGAGCCAGACAGGGAGAAGAAAAGCAUCAAAAGGACUAUAUCUGUGCCUUUCUAAUUGAAUGACGAACACAGGUCUUGCUGACCAUGACAUUAUAUGGUAGGAAUAUCCCUUUGGCUGAUUCAACAGUCCCAGCAGCGCUGCUUCCUACUUUCAGCCUCCUUGGAAGG